AGAAUCAACGCUGGCGGCGUGCCUAACACAUGCAAGUCGAACGAGAAAGGGGAGCAAUCCCUGAGUAAAGUGGCGCACGGGUGAGUAACACGUGACUAACCUACCCUGGAGUGGGGGAUAACUGAGGGAAACCUUAGCUAAUACCGCAUAACACCUACGGGUCAAAGGAGCAAUUCGCUUUGGGAGGGGGUCGCGGCCGAUUAGUUAGUUGGCGGGGUAAUGGCCCACCAAGACAGUGAUCGGUAUCCGGCCUGAGAGGGCGCACGGACACACUGGAACUGAAACACGGUCCAGACUCCUACGGGAGGCAGCAGUGGGGAAUUUUGCGCAAUGGGGGAAACCCUGACGCAGCAACGCCGCGUGGAGGAUGAAGUACUUCGGUACGUAAACUCCUUUCGAUCGGGACGAUAAUGACGGUACCGGAAGAAGAAGCCCCGGCUAACUUCGCGCCAGCAGCCGC
Molecule: ribosomal RNA, 460 nt
Filed under: uncultured bacterium
Lineage: Bacteria
Description: SSU rRNA
Rfam family: Bacterial small subunit ribosomal RNA
Source: RNAcentral